CGGGCAACUGUUCGGGCGAAACAAGGGAGAUUCCGGCGUGGGUGCCAAGCUCCAAGGCGAUCGCUCAGAUCCAGGCUCAUACGGCAGCCCACGCCAGCUCUCGACACCUA
Molecule: small RNA, 110 nt
Filed under: Xanthomonas arboricola
Lineage: Bacteria; Pseudomonadati; Pseudomonadota; Gammaproteobacteria; Lysobacterales; Lysobacteraceae
Description: sRNA sX15
Rfam family: Xanthomonadaceae sRNA sX15
Source: RNAcentral